Molecule: ribosomal RNA, 254 nt
Filed under: uncultured bacterium
Lineage: Bacteria
Description: partial 16S ribosomal RNA
Rfam family: Bacterial small subunit ribosomal RNA
Source: RNAcentral
UACGGAGGGAGCAAGCGUUAUUCGGAAUUAUUGGGCGUAAAGAGCGCGUAGGCGGAUGUUUAGGUCUGACGUGAAAUCGUUACCGCUUAACGGAACGACUGCGUUGGAAACCGGAUAUCUUGAGUAUGGCAGAGGUUGGUGGAAUUCCUGGUGUAGCGGUGGAAUGCGCAGAUAUCAGGAAGAACACCGGUGGCGAAGGCGACCAACUGGGCCAUCACUGACGCUGAGGCGCGAAAGCUAGGGUAGCGAACGGG